RNAcentral lists this ribosomal RNA (368 nucleotides) under uncultured eukaryote. RNAcentral's name for it is "partial 18S ribosomal RNA". It matches the Rfam family "Eukaryotic small subunit ribosomal RNA", at positions 592 to 976 of the family's 1831-position model. The record is from RNAcentral.
CAAUAGCGUAUAUUAAAGUUGUUGCAGUUAAAAAGCUCGUAGUUGAACUUCUGUACACAUCUGGUUUUGGCUUAGGUCAGGCCAUGUUGUGUACAUCCGUCUGCAAACUUAGCACGGACUUCACUGGCCGACUAAGGGAGUAGACAUUUUACUUUGAAAAAAUUAGAGUGUUUCAGGCAGGCAAUGGCCCGAAUACAUUAGCAUGGAAUAAUGGAAUAGGACUUCUGUCCAUUUGGUUGGUUAUUGGACAAAAGUAAUGAUUAAAAGGGACAGUUGGGGGCAUUAGUAUUUAAUUGUCAGAGGUGAAAUUCUUAGAUUUAUUAAAGACUAACUUAUGCGAAAGCAUUUGCCAAGGAUGUUUUCAUUAA